RNAcentral lists this ribosomal RNA (1399 nucleotides) under Dercas lycorias (plain sulphur). Its description in RNAcentral is "16S ribosomal RNA". The record is from RNAcentral. Lineage: Eukaryota; Metazoa; Arthropoda; Insecta; Lepidoptera; Pieridae.
UAAAAAUAAAUUAAUAAAACAAAUAUUUAAUAAAAAUAAUUUUAAUAAAAUAAUUUUAAUGGGGGUUAAAGUAUAUUUUAGAAAAAAUUUUUUUUUAUUAAUAGUAUAAUAGUAUUGUAGAAGAAUUUUGAAAUAUAUAAAAAAUAUAUUAGAUAAUAAGUAAAUUUUAUUUAUUGUAUCUUGUGUAUCAGAGUUUAUUUAAUAAUUAUUUUUAUAAAAAAUAUCUCGAAUUUAAAAGAGAUAAUUAAUUAGUAAAUUUAAUGUUGCAUAAUUAUUUUUAAUAAUUAAUUUGAAAUGAAAUGUUAAUCGUUUUUAAAUAUAUCUAGUUUUUUUAGAAAAAAAUUAAAUUUUUAAUUAAUUUUUAUUAUUUUUUAAUUUAUUAAAAAAAAAUAAGAUUAAUUAAAUAUUUUAAAGGAUAAGCUUUAAAUUAAAAUUUUAUAAUAUAUUUGUAUUUUUAAAAUAAAAUUUAUAAAUUGAAAAAAUUUAUUUAUAUUUUUUUUUAUUUAUAUUUUUAUUUAUAUAUAUAUAAAUAAAAUUUUUAAAAAUUAUAUUUUUUAUAAAUUAUAAUUUUUUAUAAAUAAUUUUAUUUAAUUAAAAAUUUUAUAUAAAUUAAUUUAAUUUUUUAUAAAAAAAUAAUAUAUAAUAAUAUAGAAUUAGAAAUAAUGAUAAAAUUAGUAUAUUUUUAAUUAUAUUAUCAAAAUUUUUAUAAUUAAAAUAAAAGAAUUCGGCAAAAUUAUAUAUUCACCUGUUUAUCAAAAACAUGUCUUUUUGAAAAUAAUAUAAAGUCUAAUCUGCCCACUGAAUUAAUUUAAAGGGCUGCAGUAUAUUGACUGUACAAAGGUAGCAUAAUCAUUAGUCUUUUAAUUGGAGACUUGUAUGAAUGAUUUAAUGAAAUAUAAACUGUUUCUAUUUUAAAAUUAGAAUUUAAUUUUUUAGUUAAAAAGCUAAAAUAAAUAUAAAAGACGAGAAGACCCUAUAGAGUUUUAUAAUUAUUUAAUUAUAAUUUAUUUAUAAAAAUUAAUUAUUUUAAUUAAAUAAUUAUUUUGUUGGGGUGAUAGAAAAAUAAAAAUAACUUUUUUUUUUAUUAAACAUUAAUAUAUGAAUAUUUGAUCCAUAAUUUAUGAUUAUAAGAAUAAAUUACCUUAGGGAUAACAGCGUAAUUUUUUUUUUUAGUUCAGAUAAAAAAGAAAGUUUGCGACCUCGAUGUUGGAUUAAGAUAAAAUUUAAACGCAAAAGUUUAAAAUUUUUGAUCUGUUCGAUCAUUAAAAUCUUACAUGAUCUGAGUUCAAACCGGUGUAAGCCAGGUUGGUUUCUAUCUUUAUAUAAAUAAAAUAAUUUAGUACGAAAGGAUUAAUUAUUUUAAAUAAUUUAAUUUUUAAGAAUAUUAUUAAAUAUAAUU